GAUGAACGCUGGCGGCGUGCCUAAUACAUGCAAGUCGAGCGAACAGACGAGGAGCUUGCUCCUCUGACGUUAGCGGCGGACGGGUGAGUAACACGUGGAUAACCUACCUAUAAGACUGGGAUAACUUCGGGAAACCGGAGCUAAUACCGGAUAAUAUAUUGAACCGCAUGGUUCAAUAGUGAAAGACGGUUUUGCUGUCACUUAUAGAUGAAUCCGCGCCGCAUUAGCUAGUUGGUAAGGUAACGGCUUACCAAGGCAACGAUGCGUAGCCGACCUGAGAGGGUGAUCGGCCACACUGGAACUGAGACACGGUCCAGACUCCUACGGGAGGCAGCAGUAGGGAAUCUUCCGCAAUGGGCGAAAGCCUGACGGGGCAACGCCGCGUGAGUGAUGAAGGUCUUCGGAUCGUAAAACUCUGUUAUUAGGGAAGAACAAAUGUGUAAGUAACUAUGCACGUCUUGACGGUACCUAAUCAGAAAGCCACGGCUAACUACGUG
Molecule: ribosomal RNA, 497 nt
Filed under: uncultured bacterium
Lineage: Bacteria
Description: partial 16S ribosomal RNA
Rfam family: Bacterial small subunit ribosomal RNA
Source: RNAcentral